Molecule: long non-coding RNA, 796 nt
Organism: Triticum dicoccoides
Lineage: Eukaryota; Viridiplantae; Streptophyta; Magnoliopsida; Poales; Poaceae
Exons: 4
Source: RefSeq, a predicted model, not a curated record
UUAAGAUGGAGGCUUGCACACUCAGGGUAGGUGGUCAAAGCCCUCUUCUAUUGUUGUGGCACUGGUGAGUUUGCACGGAGUAGCAGCCUGGAGAGGCGGCCGACGGUGCACUUGUGAAGCAACAAUAAACACGUCUCAUGCCAACACGCCAAGAUGAGCUUCACCCAAUCCCUCUCUCUGUAUAUAUGCAAGCUUGUGUGAUGUGCUCUGCUUCCUCCUCCCUUUUUUUAAUUAAUGGAUCUCUCACUGAGCAGAGCAUGUUGUUUAGGUUGGCAGCAUAAAUGAUAUAGCUAAGUUAUCUUCACCAAAGACAGAUUUUGGUAUGUGCAUUUGGGCCUUUCUGCCCUUCUUGUUCAAGAAAACAAGAUCCUGAUGAAUGUAAUGAUGUUGGACAAAGGGCGAUUUCUCAUGAUUGGGAGAGCCUUGCUGAUUCAUUUCGACCACAGUACCAGAACCCAGGUGAAUGCAGUUGACUCUUGAAGAUCGAGGGCACCAAAGACAUAUGCCGAGGCCGUCCAUCGACAACCUACCCAAGGUCCGGAUUCAUCGAGGAGUACAACAGGAGACGCUGUCGGCUGCCUGCAGGAAUUAGGAAUUUCUUCACGAUGCCACUUCCCACCUCGAAAGGCGUCGAUGUCGGCGAUCCAGUUUAUGUUCUGCAUGCAUCACUUCUUCAAAUGAAACCCCAACCUGAGCAAGGUCAUGGUAGAUUAGAUGAUAAUGUAUCUGUCUUAUGUGCGUGUGUGUCAGAACAAGUGAUCUAUUAGUUGAGCAUUAUGUAAAUUAGACUUGGCAA